AUUGAACGCUGGCGGCAUGCCUUACACAUGCAAGUCGAACGGUAACAGGUCUUCGGAUGCUGACGAGUGGCGAACGGGUGAGUAAUACAUCGGAACGUGCCUAGUAGUGGGGGAUAACUACUCGAAAGAGUGGCUAAUACCGCAUGAGAUCUACGGAUGAAAGCAGGGGAUCGAAAGACCUUGUGCUACUAGAGCGGCCGAUGGCAGAUUAGGUAGUUGGUGGGAUAAAAGCUUACCAAGCCGACGAUCUGUAGCUGGUCUGAGAGGACGAUCAGCCACACUGAGACUGAGAAACGGCCCAGACUCCUACGGAAGGCAGCAGUGGGGAAUUUUGGACAAUGGGCGCAAGCCUGAUCCAGCAAUGCCGCGUGCAGGAUGAAGGCCUUCGGGUUGUAAACUGCUUUUGUACGGAACGAAAAGCCCCGGGUUAAUACCCUGGGGUCAUGACGGUACCGUAAGAAUAAGCACCGGCUAACUACGUGCCAGCAGCCGCCGUAA
Molecule: ribosomal RNA, 498 nt
Filed under: uncultured bacterium
Lineage: Bacteria
Description: partial 16S ribosomal RNA
Rfam family: Bacterial small subunit ribosomal RNA
Source: RNAcentral